Molecule: microRNA precursor, 107 nt
Filed under: Nicotiana sylvestris (wood tobacco)
Lineage: Eukaryota; Viridiplantae; Streptophyta; Magnoliopsida; Solanales; Solanaceae
Also listed under: 1 other name
Description: MIR6152 microRNA precursor family
Rfam family: MIR6152 microRNA precursor family
Source: Rfam by way of RNAcentral
UGGACAGAUUAUUGUAUUCGACCGUAUUCGACUGUAUUCACGGCGUGAAACAGGGGAUUACACUGUUGUUUAAAUGGAAAGUGAAUCAAUUAACAUAAUAGACUCCU